GGGAAAUUAUCUGAUGAGAUGGAGAUCGGUUGUCGCUGGCUUCUUCAUUGAGGCAUGUGCACGCCUUUCUCUAUUCAUCCAACACACACCUGUGAACUCGUGAGACGGAUAGUAGUCUACUCUGGAUUUAUUCAUUUAAUUCCGGGGGGCGACGAGGUCCGUCUGUCAAUACAUAAACUCCAAUUAAAUAAAUCUGAAUGUAAUCUGAUGUAACGCAUCUAUAAACUAAGUUUCAACAACGGAUCUCUUGGCUCUCGCAUCGAUGAAGAACGCAGCGAAAUGCGAUAAGUAAUGUGAAUUGCAGAAUUCAGUGAAUCAUCGAAUCUUUGAACGCACCUUGCGCUCCUUGGUAUUCCUCGGAGCAUGCCUGUUUGAGUAUCAUGAAAUUAUCAAAAUAAAUCUUUUGUUCAUUCGAUCGAUUUUAUUUUGGACUUGGGGGUCUGCAGAUUCACGUCUGCUCCCCUUGAAUGCAUUAGCUGGAUCACUGUAGACUCGGUUCCACUCGGCGUGAUAAGUAUCACUCGCCGAGGACACUCUGUAAAAAGAGUGGCCGGGACUAUUAGAGAACCGCUUCCAAUAGUCCAUUUGCUUGGACAAUAAACAUUAAUGAUCUGAUCUCAAUUCAGGGAAGGAUAACCCGCUGAAUUUAAGAUAAGGGUGGUUUACCCCACUUAGGUGUUUGUGGGGAGAGAAGUUACCCGCGGGGUUUUUUGUAUUUUUCCGAGUAGGAAACACGUUUCUCGUCUUUCUUCUCCAGUUGCGAACCCGGGAGAGGGAAGUGGACAUUUUAUUUUAAGGCGCUCCCCGCCUCAUUUUGAUUUUUCUAGUAGGGAUUUUGGUCAGGAAGACGAGCAGCCGCGGAAUAUAAUUUUAAUGAG
This 878-nucleotide ribosomal RNA is filed under the name Ceratobasidium sp. RNAcentral's name for it is "eukaryotic LSU rRNA". The stretch from base 228 to 381 matches the Rfam family "5.8S ribosomal RNA". Lineage: Eukaryota; Fungi; Basidiomycota; Agaricomycetes; Cantharellales; Ceratobasidiaceae. The record is from RNAcentral.